Transfer RNA from Hepatospora eriocheir, 72 nucleotides. It matches the Rfam family "tRNA". Rfam says of the family: Transfer RNA (tRNA) molecules are approximately 80 nucleotides in length. Their secondary structure includes four short double-helical elements and three loops (D, anti-codon, and T loops). The record is from Rfam. Lineage: Eukaryota; Fungi; Microsporidia; Hepatosporidae.
GGCAUAUUAGUUUAGUGGUCAGAAUGGAUGGCUGUUAACCAUCAGACGGGAGUUCGAUUCUCUCAUACGCCG